GGGCCGUUAGCUCAGUUGGCUAGAGCGCCGCAUUUGCAAUGCGGAGGUCGCGAGUUCGAGCCUCGCACGGUCCACCA
Molecule: transfer RNA, 77 nt
Filed under: Candidatus Vogelbacteria bacterium RIFOXYD1_FULL_51_18
Lineage: Bacteria; Candidatus Vogeliibacteriota
Description: tRNA-Ala
Rfam family: tRNA
About the family: Transfer RNA (tRNA) molecules are approximately 80 nucleotides in length.
Source: RNAcentral